CUUUAUCGUCUUCUUUUAAUUCCCAUUCAUUUCUUAUUCUUCUUUAUUCUCGUUGAUCAUGUUCUCAGAGUCCUCAAGGCUCAACAACAUCUAGCAUACUCCUGAUAAGAACUACAAUGGAUAAUGGUCACCCAAAAUACCACUUCCUUUUUUUUUUGCCACCCAGCUUAAAACAACAUAACACCUCCACUAAAUUAACAACAAUAUCUGGAUGGAACGAGGCUAGUCUGAAAACUUUCUAUAAUAUCCCUCGAUCAUCACCUUCCUUGUCUCAUAUUUGUAAACUCUUGUUUACUACCAUCGAUAAAUGCCGGAGGGAUAAACUUUUCCUUU
Molecule: long non-coding RNA, 333 nt
Filed under: Malus domestica (apple)
Lineage: Eukaryota; Viridiplantae; Streptophyta; Magnoliopsida; Rosales; Rosaceae
Description: long non-coding RNA (MDOM_LNC000592)
Source: RNAcentral